UCGCCUGUUUUUACAAAAACAUUUCUAUUAGAAAAUUAUUAAUAGUAAAUUCUGCUCAAUGAAAAUUUAAUAGCCGCUUUUGUGCUAAGGUAGCAUAAUAAUUUGUCUUUUAAUUAAAGACUAGAACAAAAGAUUUUUCAUUUUAAUUCAUAUUUUAAAUUUAUUAUUAUUAAAUUAUCUUAAAUGUAAAAAGACACUUAUAAAAAAGAAAGACGACAAGACCCUAUAGAACUUAACUUAAGUUUAACUGGGGCAGUUAAUUAAUAAAAAUUUUAAUAAAAUGUAAUUCUUAAAUAGACCUAAUAUAAUUAAUAAAAUGACCAAGUUACCUUAGGGAUAACAGCGUAAUAUAAUUUUAAAGAUCUUAUAAAAAACUAAGAUUACGACCUCGAUGUUGAUUUAAUUUUCUAAUUUAACGCAAUAGUAAUAAAGAAAGUCGUCGCUAA
This 446-nucleotide ribosomal RNA is filed under the name Piratula yaginumai. RNAcentral's name for it is "partial 16S ribosomal RNA". Lineage: Eukaryota; Metazoa; Arthropoda; Arachnida; Araneae; Lycosidae. The record is from RNAcentral.